RNAcentral lists this ribosomal RNA (427 nucleotides) under uncultured bacterium. RNAcentral describes it as "bacterial SSU rRNA". It matches the Rfam family "Bacterial small subunit ribosomal RNA", at positions 355 to 774 of the family's 1533-position model. The record is from RNAcentral.
UGGGGAAUUUUGGACAAUGGGCGCAAUCCUGAUCCAGCAAUGCCGCGUGCAGGAUGAAGGCCUUCGGGUUGUAAACUGCUUUUGUACGGAACGAAAAAGCUCUCUCUAAUACAGGGGGUGAAUGACGGUACCGUAAGAAUAAGCACCGGCUAACUACGUGCCAGCAGCCGCGGUAAUACGUAGGGUGCAAGCGUUAAUCGGAAUUACUGGGCGUAAAGCGUGCGCAGGCGGUUUUGUAAGACAGAGGUGAAAUCCCCGGGCUCAACCUGGGAACUGCCUCUGUGACUGCAAAGCUGGAGUGCGGCAGUGGGGGAUGGAAUUCCGCGUGUAGCAGUGAAAUGCGUAGAUAUGCGGAGGAACACCGAUGGCGAAGGCAAUCCCCUGGGCCUGCACUGACGCUCAUGCACGAAAGCGUGGGGAGCAAACA